AGCUCCAAUAGCGUAUAUUAAAGUUGUUGCAGUUAAAAAGCUCGUAGUUGAAACUUGGGCUGGGAGACGGGUCACUCGCAAGAGCGUACUCGCUGUCCCUGCCCUUUCUUCGGUGGGUGCCGUUCGCAAGAUGGCCACUUUGCCGAGUUUUACUUUGAAGAAAUUAGAGUGUUCAAAGCAGGCUUACGCUUGUAUACAUCAGCAUGGAAUAAUAAAAUAGGAUUUUGGUUCUAUUUUGUUGGUUUGAGGACCAAAGUAAUGAUUAAUAGGGACAGUUGGGGGCAUUAGUAUUUGACGGUCAGAGGUGAAAUUCUUGGAUUCGUCAAAGACUAACUAGUGCGAAAGCAUUUGCCAAGGAUGUUUUCAUUA
RNAcentral lists this ribosomal RNA (369 nucleotides) under Chytridium sp. RNAcentral describes it as "partial small subunit ribosomal RNA". It matches the Rfam family "Eukaryotic small subunit ribosomal RNA", at positions 587 to 975 of the family's 1831-position model. The record is from RNAcentral. Lineage: Eukaryota; Fungi; Chytridiomycota; Chytridiomycetes; Chytridiales; Chytridiaceae.